AUUGAACGCUGGCGGCAGGCCUAACACAUGCAAGUCGAGCGGUAGAGAGAAGCUUGCUUCUCUUGAGAGCGGCGGACGGGUGAGUAAUGCCUAGGAAUCUGCCUGGUAGUGGGGGAUAACGUUCGGAAGCGAACGCUAAUACCGCAUACGUCCUACGGGAGAAAGCAGGGGACCUUCGGGCCUUGCGCUAUCAGAUGAGCCUAGGUCGGAUUAGCUAGUUGGUGAGGUAAUGGCUCACCAAGGCGACGAUCCGUAACUGGUCUGAGAGGAUGAUCAGUCACACUGGAACUGAGACACGGUCCAGACUCCUACGGGAGGCAGCAGUGGGAAUAUUGGACAAUGGGCGAAAGCCUGAUCCAGCCAUGCCGCGUGUGUGAAGAAGGUCUUCGGAUUGUAAAGCACUUUAAGUUGGGAGGAAGGGCAGUUACCUAAUACGUGAUUGUUUGACGUUACCGACAGAAUAAG
This 465-nucleotide ribosomal RNA is filed under the name uncultured bacterium. Its description in RNAcentral is "bacterial SSU rRNA". It matches the Rfam family "Bacterial small subunit ribosomal RNA", at positions 30 to 490 of the family's 1533-position model. The record is from RNAcentral.